This 1751-nucleotide ribosomal RNA is filed under the name Veillonella sp. RNAcentral's name for it is "partial 23S ribosomal RNA". It matches the Rfam family "Bacterial large subunit ribosomal RNA", at positions 1 to 1752 of the family's 2925-position model. The record is from RNAcentral. Lineage: Bacteria; Bacillati; Bacillota; Negativicutes; Veillonellales; Veillonellaceae.
GGUUAAGUGAAUAAGGGCGCACGGUGGAUGCCUUGGCACUAGGAGCCGAUGAAGGACGGGACUAACACCGAUAUGCUUUGGGGAGCUGUAAGUAAGCUAUGAUCCAGAGAUUUCCGAAUGGGGGAACCCAAUAUCUUUUAUAGGAUAUUACUUUUCAGUGAAUACAUAGCUGAUUAGAGGUAGACGCAGAGAACUGAAACAUCUUAGUACCUGCAGGAAGAGAAAGAAAAUUCGAUUCCCUGAGUAGCGGCGAGCGAAACGGGAAGAGCCCAAACCAACAAGCUUGCUUGUUGGGGUUGUAGGACUCCAAUAUGGUAGUCUGUUAGUAUAGUUGAAGGAUUUGGAAAAUUCCGCUAAAGAGGGUGAAAGCCCCGUAGACGAAAUGCUGACAACACCUAGGAGGAUCCUGAGUACGGCGGAACACGAGAAAUUCCGUCGGAAUCCGCGGGGACCAUCCCGCAAGGCUAAAUACUCCCUAGUGACCGAUAGUGAACCAGUACCGUGAGGGAAAGGUGAAAAGCACCCCGGAAGGGGAGUGAAAUAGAUCCUGAAACCGUGUGCCUACAACAAGUCAAAGCUCGUUAAUGAGUGAUGGCGUGCCUUUUGUAGAAUGAACCGGCGAGUUACGAUUGCAUGCGAGGUUAAGUCGAAGAGACGGAGCCGCAGCGAAAGCGAGUCUGAAUAGGGCGAAUGAGUAUGUAGUCGUAGACCCGAAACCAUGUGAUCUACCCAUGUCCAGGUUGAAGGUGCGGUAAAACGCACUGGAGGACCGAACCCACGUACGUUGAAAAGUGCGGGGAUGAGGUGUGGGUAGCGGAGAAAUUCCAAACGAACUUGGAGAUAGCUGGUUCUCUCCGAAAUAGCUUUAGGGCUAGCCUCGGAAUUGAGAAUGAUGGAGGUAGAGCACUGUUUGGACUAGGGGCCCAUCUCGGGUUACCGAAUUCAGAUAAACUCCGAAUGCCAUUCAUUUAUAUCCGGGAGUCAGACUGCGAGUGAUAAGAUCCGUAGUCGAAAGGGAAACAGCCCAGACCACCAGCUAAGGUCCCAAAAUAUAUGUUAAGUGGAAAAGGAUGUGGGGUUGCACAGACAACUAGGAUGUUGGCUUAGAAGCAGCCACCAUUUAAAGAGUGCGUAAUAGCUCACUAGUCGAGUGACCCUGCGCCGAAAAUGUACCGGGGCUAAACAUAUUACCGAAGCUGUGGACUACACCAUUAGGUGUAGUGGUAGGAGAGCGUUCUAAGGGCGUUGAAGGUCGAUCGUGAGGACGGCUGGAGCGCUUAGAAGUGAGAAUGCCGGUAUGAGUAGCGAAAGACAGGUGAGAAUCCUGUCCACCGUAUGACUAAGGUUUCCUGGGGAAGGCUCGUCCGCCCAGGGUUAGUCGGGACCUAAGCCGAGGCCGAUAGGCGUAGGCGAUGGACAACAGGUUGAUAUUCCUGUACCAGUUGUUUUUGUUUGAGCAAUGGAGGGACGCAGUAGGCUAAGGAAUGCAUGCGAUUGGAAGUGCAUGUCCAAGCAAUGAGUCUUGAGUAGAGUUAAAUGCUUUACUCUCUAAGGACAAGUUGUGACGGGGAGCGAAAUAAUAGUAGCGAAGUUCCUGAUGUCACACUGCCAAGAAAAGCUUCUAGUGAGAAAACAACUGCCCGUACCGUAAACCGACACAGGUAGUCGAGGAGAGUAUCCUAAGGUGAGCGAGCGAACUCUCGUUAAGGAACUCGGCAAAAUGACCCCGUAACUUCGGGAGAAGGGGUGCU